Molecule: transfer RNA, 75 nt
Filed under: Clostridiales bacterium
Lineage: Bacteria; Bacillati; Bacillota; Clostridia; Eubacteriales
Description: tRNA-Asn
Rfam family: tRNA
About the family: Transfer RNA (tRNA) molecules are approximately 80 nucleotides in length.
Source: RNAcentral
GCCUCAGUAGCUCAAUGGUGGAGCACUCGGCUGUUAACCGAUAGGUUGCCCGUUCGAGCCGGGCCUGAGGCGCCA